RNAcentral lists this transfer RNA (69 nucleotides) under Marmota monax (woodchuck). Its description in RNAcentral is "tRNA.Val". Lineage: Eukaryota; Metazoa; Chordata; Mammalia; Rodentia; Sciuridae. The record is from RNAcentral.
GAUUGUGGCUCAGUGGUAGAGUGCUUUCCUAACAUGUGUGAGGUACUGGGUUUGAACCUCAGCACAACA